Molecule: ribosomal RNA, 253 nt
Filed under: uncultured bacterium
Lineage: Bacteria
Description: partial 16S ribosomal RNA
Rfam family: Bacterial small subunit ribosomal RNA
Source: RNAcentral
UACGUAGGUGACCAGCGUUGUCCGGAUUUACUGGGCGUAAAGAGCGCGCAGGCGGUCGUUCAAGUCGAGUGUGAAAGCCCCCGGCUCAACCGGGGAACUGCGUCUGAUACUGGGUGGCUUGAAUCCGGGAGAGGGAUGCGGAAUUCCAGGUGUAGCGGUGAAAUGCGUAGAUAUCAGGAGGAACACCGGUGGCGAAGGCGGGAUCCUGGGCCAGUACUGACGCUGAGGAGCGAAAGCGUGGGGAGCAAACAGG